This 296-nucleotide small RNA is filed under the name Chryseobacterium piperi. RNAcentral's name for it is "Chryseobacterium sp. CTM 5' ureB small RNA". It matches the Rfam family "5' ureB small RNA". The record is from Rfam by way of RNAcentral. Lineage: Bacteria; Pseudomonadati; Bacteroidota; Flavobacteriia; Flavobacteriales; Weeksellaceae.
GUUUCUAUUUGUUGCGGACAGAUAUAGUGAAUGUGGGUAUCGAUUCCUCCUGCUGUUACGAUAUAUCCUUUUCCACCGUGCACCUCUGUAGAAGCUCCGAUAAUCAUAUCGGGAUCCACUCCGUCCAUUGUAUCCGGGUUUCCUGCUUUCCCUAUUCCUACGAUCUUACCAUCUUUAAUUCCGAUAUCCGCCUUUACAAUUCCCCAAUGGUCAAUAAUCACAGCUCCGGUAAUACAAAGGUCCAAAACCCCUUCAUCUCUUUUACGGGUUACAUUCUGUCCCAUUCCGUCGCGAAC